UUGAACGCUGGCGGCAUGCCUUACACAUGCAAGUCGAACGGCAGCACGGGGGCAAUCCUGGUGGCGAGUGGCGAACGGGUGAGUAAUAUAUCGGAACGUGCCCAGUAAUGGGGGAUAGCCCGGCGAAAGCCGGAUUAAUACCGCAUACGACCUUCGGGUGAAAGCGGGGGAUCGCAAGACCUCGCGUUAUUGGAGCGGCCGAUAUCAGAUUAGCUUGUUGGCGGGGUAAAAGCCCACCAAGGCGACGAUCUGUAGCUGGUCUGAGAGGACGACCAGCCACACUGGGACUGAGACACGGCCCAGACUCCUACGGGAGGCAGCAGUGGGGAAUUUUGGACAAUGGGCGCAAGCCUGAUCCAGCCAUGCCGCGUGUGGGAAGAAGGCCUUCGGGUUGUAAACCA
This 401-nucleotide ribosomal RNA is filed under the name uncultured bacterium. RNAcentral's name for it is "bacterial SSU rRNA". It matches the Rfam family "Bacterial small subunit ribosomal RNA", at positions 29 to 432 of the family's 1533-position model. The record is from RNAcentral.